UAAUUCCCCAGCUCGGGCGGCUUGAAACUGCUCGGGCUGAAUAGCAUUUGCUGUUCCGUCCUCCGGCCGCCUCCCGCCGCCGCUGCCGCGGUCUCUGCAAAGCAGCUCUCCUGAUCCCGGAAGUUGUGCUGACACAGUCUCGCUGCCACCCGAAGUUUGUCAACAUCAAACUUCUCCUGUGCGUGCUGGACAAGGUGCCUUUUCUGAGUUGUUCAGUUUUAGACACUCAGUGUGAGCUCUAAACAUGAGGAAGCAAUUGCUUUUUACAGUGAUACGAGCUCUGUGCUCAUCUGGAUUUAGUUACUUCAUAAGGUAAAUAUUCCUAAAUGUGCUUUGGGAUCUUUGGGGACAUAAGGCAAGGUACAGACAGAAAAUAGUGUAUGGUGAAAUGCUUGAGGAUGUCAAACAACCUGAUGCUUUUACAAAAGUAAUCAGUUCACUGAAAGUAUCUUGGAAUUGUUGUUUAAUUUUAAAAUAAUAAAACGUUUUCAAUUUGUCUCA
This 501-nucleotide long non-coding RNA is filed under the name Vombatus ursinus (common wombat). RNAcentral's name for it is "lncRNA (ENSVURG00010017905.1)". The record is from RNAcentral. Lineage: Eukaryota; Metazoa; Chordata; Mammalia; Diprotodontia; Vombatidae.